CAGUAGCCACGGUAAUACGUAGGGUGCAAGCGUUAAUCGGAAUUACUGGGCGUAAAGCGUGCGCAGGCGGUUUGUUAAGACAGUUGUGAAAUCCCCGGGCUCAACCUGGGAACUGCAUUUGUGACUGGCAAGCUAGAGUGUGGCAGAGGGGGGUGGAAUUCCGCGUGUAGCAGUGAAAUGCGUAGAUAUGCGGAGGAACACCGAUGGCGAAGGCAGCCCCCUGGGCCAACACUGACGCUCAUGCACGAAAGCGUGGGGAGCAAACAGGAUUAGAUACCCGGGUAGUCCCUGUCUCUUAUAC
Molecule: ribosomal RNA, 301 nt
Filed under: uncultured bacterium
Lineage: Bacteria
Description: partial 16S ribosomal RNA
Rfam family: Bacterial small subunit ribosomal RNA
Source: RNAcentral